RNAcentral lists this small nuclear RNA (316 nucleotides) under Tursiops truncatus (common bottlenose dolphin). Its description in RNAcentral is "7SK RNA (ENSTTRG00000021598.1)". It matches the Rfam family "7SK RNA". Rfam says of the family: 7SK was discovered as an abundant small nuclear RNA in the mid-70s but a possible function has only recently been suggested. Two independent studies have found that 7SK RNA binds the CDK9/cyclin T complex (known as elongation factor P-TEFb). The record is from Rfam by way of RNAcentral. Lineage: Eukaryota; Metazoa; Chordata; Mammalia; Artiodactyla; Delphinidae.
AAGUCCGUCUGGCUGCGACAUCUGUCACCCCAUUGAUCGCCAGGGUUGAUUCAGCUGACCUGGCUGGCUAGGCGGGUGUCCCCUUCCUCCCUCACCACUCCACGUGCGUCCCUCCCAAAGCCGUGCGCUCGGUCGAAGAGGAUGACCUCCCCCGCUAGAGGAGGACCGUUCUUCGGUCAAGGGCAUACGAGUAGCUGCGCUCCCCUGCUAGAACCUCCAAACAAGCUCUCGGAGCUAUUUCCAUGGGACAAAAUAGCUCAGGAGUCUGAUGUGAAACUCAGGUCCACCUUUGUCUUCAUAGCCAGCCCCAGAGGCU